UUUGGGAGGAGGGGGCUAAAUUUUAGCCCCCGUCACAUCGAAUGUUUGGACACUAAUUAGGAGUAUUAAACUUAGACUAAUUACAAAACUAAUUACACAACCUCUAGGCUAAAUCGCGAGACGAAUCUAUUAAGCCUAAUUAGUCCAUGAUUUGAUAAUGUGGUGCUACAGUAACCAUUCACUAAUGAUGGAUUAAUUAGACUUAAUAGAU
Molecule: long non-coding RNA, 211 nt
Filed under: Setaria italica (foxtail millet)
Lineage: Eukaryota; Viridiplantae; Streptophyta; Magnoliopsida; Poales; Poaceae
Description: long non-coding RNA (SITA_LNC001155)
Source: RNAcentral